GACGGAGGGCGCGAACGUUGUUCGGAAUCACUGGGCGUAAAGGGCGCGUAGGCGGACCGAUAAGUCGAGGGUGAAAUUCCAGGGCUCAACUCUGGAACUGCCUUUGAAACUGCCGGUCUAGAGUGCAGGAGAGGAAGGCGGAAUUCCAGGUGUAGCGGUGGAAUGCGUAGAUAUCUGGAAGAACACCAGUGGCGAAGGCGGCCUUCUGGACUGACACUGACGCUGAUGCGCGAAAGCUGGGGGAGCAAACAGG
This 253-nucleotide ribosomal RNA is filed under the name uncultured bacterium. RNAcentral's name for it is "partial 16S ribosomal RNA". It matches the Rfam family "Bacterial small subunit ribosomal RNA", at positions 524 to 776 of the family's 1533-position model. The record is from RNAcentral.